AAUGGAAAUUGCUAGAUAGUAUACUUCAAAAUAAGAUUUCCGUUUUUAUAUCAUUUUUUAAAAUAAGUUAAGGUUAGGUUAGGGUUAGGUUAGGGUUGGGGUUAGGGUUAGGGUUAAGGUUAGUAUUAGGGUUAGGGUUUAGAUUUGUGUUAGGAUGGUUUUUUCUACGUUAUAAAUACGGAAAUCUUAUUUUGAAGUAUACUAUCUAGCAAUUACCGA
This is a non-coding RNA of Paramuricea clavata, 219 nucleotides long. NCBI's taxonomy places the organism in Eukaryota, Metazoa, Cnidaria, Anthozoa, Malacalcyonacea, Plexauridae. The record is from the annotation of a GenBank genome assembly.